RNAcentral lists this ribosomal RNA (1400 nucleotides) under uncultured bacterium. RNAcentral describes it as "bacterial SSU rRNA". It matches the Rfam family "Bacterial small subunit ribosomal RNA". The record is from RNAcentral.
UUAGAGUUUGAUCCUGGCUCAGGAUGAACGCUAGCGGCAGGCUUAAUACAUGCAAGUCGAGGGGCAGCGAGAUCAGUGCUUGCACUGAUUGUCGGCGACCGGCGCACGGGUGCGUAACGCGUAUGCAAUCUACCCAUUACAGGGGGAUAACACUGAGAAAUCGGUACUAAUACCCCAUAACAUCCAGGGAGGCAUCUUCUUGGGUUGAAAACUCCGGUGGUAAUGGAUGGGCAUGCGUUGUAUUAGUUAGUUGGUGGGGUAACGGCUCACCAAGACAACGAUACAUAGGGGGACUGAGAGGUUAACCCCCCACAUUGGUACUGAGACACGGACCAAACUCCUACGGGAGGCAGCAGUGAGGAAUAUUGGUCAAUGGACGCAAGUCUGAACCAGCCAUGCCGCGUGCAGGAAGACGGCUCUAUGAGUUGUAAACUGCUUUUGUACGAGGGUAAACGCAGAUACGCGUAUCUGUCUGAAAGUAUCGUACGAAUAAGGAUCGGCUAACUCCGUGCCAGCAGCCGCGGUAAUACGGAGGAUUCAAGCGUUAUCCGGAUUUAUUGGGUUUAAAGGGUGCGUAGGCGGUCGGAUAAGUUAGAGGUGAAAUCCCGGGGCUCAACUUCGGAAUUGCCUCUGAUACUGUUCGGCUAGAGAGUAGUUGCGGUAGGCGGAAUGUAUGGUGUAGCGGUGAAAUGCUUAGAGAUCAUACAGAACACCGAUUGCGAAGGCAGCUUACCAAGCUACUUCUGACGUUGAGGCACGAAAGCGUGGGGAGCAAACAGGAUUAGAUACCCUGGUAGUCCACGCAGUAAACGAUGAUAACUCGUUGUCGGCGAUACAGUGUCGGUGACUAAGCGAAAGCGAUAAGUUAUCCACCUGGGGAGUACGUUCGCAAGAAUGAAACUCAAAGGAAUUGACGGGGGCCCGCACAAGCGGAGGAACACGUGGUUUAAUUCGAUGAUACGCGAGGAACCUUACCCGGGCUUGAAAGUUAGUGACGGAUCUUGAAAGAGGUCUUCCCUUCGGGGCACGAAACUAGGUGCUGCAUGGUUGUCGUCAGCUCGUGCCGUGAGGUGUCGGGUUAAGUCCCAUAACGAGCGCAACCCCUACCGUUAGUUGCCAGCAGGUCAAGCUGGGCACUCUGACGGGACUGCCGGUGUAAGCCGAGAGGAAGGUGGGGAUGACGUCAAAUCAGCACGGCCCUUACGUCCGGGGCUACACACGUGUUACAAUGGCAGGUACAGAGGGCAGCUACCCAGCGAUGGGAUGCGAAUCUCGAAAGCCUGUCUCAGUUCGGAUUGGAGGCUGAAACCCGCCUCCAUGAAGUUGGAUUCGCUAGUAAUCGCGCAUCAGCCAUGGCGCGGUGAAUACGUUCCCGGGCCUUGCACACACCGCCCGUCAAG